This 301-nucleotide ribosomal RNA is filed under the name uncultured bacterium. Its description in RNAcentral is "partial 16S ribosomal RNA". It matches the Rfam family "Bacterial small subunit ribosomal RNA", at positions 509 to 807 of the family's 1533-position model. The record is from RNAcentral.
CAGUCGCCACGGUAAUGCGUAGGGUGCAAGCGUUAAUCGGAAUUACUGGGCGUAAAGCGUGCGCAGGCGGUUUGUUAAGACAGAUGUGAAAUCCCCGGGCUUAACCUGGGAACUGCAUUUGUGACUGGCAAGCUAGAGUCUGGCAGAGGGGGGUGGAAUUCCGCGUGUAGCAGUGAAAUGCGUAGAUAUGCGGAGGAACACCGAUGGCGAAGGCAGCCCCCUGGGCCAACACUGACGCUCAUGCACGAAAGCGUGGGGAGCAAACAGGAUUAGAUACCCCCGUAGUCCCUGUCUCUUAUAC